UGGGGAAUAUUGCACAAUGGGCGCAAGCCUGAUGCAGCCAUGCCGCGUGUGUGAAGAAGGCCUUCGGGUUGUAAAGCACUUUCAGCGAGGAGGAAGGUGGUGAACUUAAUACGUUCAUCAAUUGACGUUACUCGCAGAAGAAGCACCGGCUAACUCCGUGCCAGCAGCCGCGGUAAUACGGAGGGUGCAAGCGUUAAUCGGAAUUACUGGGCGUAAAGCGCACGCAGGCGGUUUGUUAAGUCAGAUGUGAAAUCCCCGGGCUCAACCUGGGAACUGCAUUUGAAACUGGCAAGCUAGAGUCUCGUAGAGGGGGGUAGAAUUCCAGGUGUAGCGGUGAAAUGCGUAGAGAUCUGGAGGAAUACCGGUGGCGAAGGCGGCCCCCUGGACGAAGACUGACGCUCAGGUGCGAAAGCGUGGGGCAGCAAACAGGAUUAGAUACCCUGGUAGUCCACGCUGUAAAACGAUGUCGAUUUGGAGGUUGUGCCCUUGAGGCGUGGCUUCCGGAGCUAACGCGUUAAAUCGACCGCCUGGGGAGUACGGCCGCAAGGUUAAAACUUAAAUGAAUUGCGGGUC
This 573-nucleotide ribosomal RNA is filed under the name uncultured bacterium. RNAcentral's name for it is "partial 16S ribosomal RNA". It matches the Rfam family "Bacterial small subunit ribosomal RNA", at positions 355 to 918 of the family's 1533-position model. The record is from RNAcentral.